CUGGUACUAGCUCCAUUAAUAGUUAAAAAAAAGAGACAAAUUUAUAACUAAAUCUAAAAGAUACUAUUUGGUAGUAGUAAUUUUACAGCAUAAGAAAUAACAAAGUUCAGACGCUACUAGCUUCUGAUCAUACGUACAAAAAAAAGAGUAAUAAAAAGAGAUGCUAGUGCGACGUCUAAAAUUAAAAUAUAUACAUAUAUAGUACAACAUGCCAUUUCUAACUAAUUUGUGUACAUAAAUACGAUACUCUAGUACUAAUUAAGGACUAAAUAGAUUGAUCGACAGCCUAAUAUUAAUAUGCUUAAGCCAUACGUAAUGGUUUUCCCAAUGGAAAAUCAAUCAUUAAUUAGCGCGCUGCAAGCCACCACCAUAGAAUCUGGCAGCCUGGUAGGGGUUGACAACCACCGCGGCCGUGGUGGCAGAAACCACCGGAGCCACCUGAAAAACAUGGGAGCAUUGUGGUUGAUACCGAUACUUACACAAUGGUUGAUGUUGUGGAGGAGAAGCACAAUAAUUAGUACCACUCCUUGAUCCCUUUCUUCCAUACGAUUCUUCCACCAUAUCAAAGCUUCCUGAUGAACCAAUCUUAUGUGCCAUAUUUAUAGUAUAGUAGUACUUCUUGAAACUAUGUAACGUACACCUACUUACAAAGCUUAGUGAGUAGUAUUUUGCUUCUUGAAUAACUAUAGUGUAGU
RNAcentral lists this long non-coding RNA (695 nucleotides) under Panax ginseng (ginseng). RNAcentral's name for it is "long non-coding RNA (PGIN_LNC014180)". Lineage: Eukaryota; Viridiplantae; Streptophyta; Magnoliopsida; Apiales; Araliaceae. The record is from RNAcentral.